This 424-nucleotide ribosomal RNA is filed under the name Verrucomicrobiota bacterium. RNAcentral's name for it is "Verrucomicrobia bacterium partial 16S ribosomal RNA". It matches the Rfam family "Bacterial small subunit ribosomal RNA", at positions 355 to 776 of the family's 1533-position model. The record is from RNAcentral. Lineage: Bacteria; Pseudomonadati; Verrucomicrobiota.
UGAGGAAUAUUGGUCAAUGGGCGAGAGCCUGAACCAGCCAAGUAGCGUGCAGGACGACGGCCCUAUGGGUUGUAAACUGCUUUUAUGUGGGGAUAAAGUGCGUGACGUGUCAUGCAUUGCAGGUACCACAUGAAUAAGGACCGGCUAAUUCCGUGCCAGCAGCCGCGGUAAUACGGAAGGUUCGGGCGUUAUCCGGAUUUAUUGGGUUUAAAGGGAGCGUAGGCCGUUUGGUAAGCGUGUUGUGAAAUGUAGGAGCUCAACUUCUAGAUUGCAGCGCGAACUGUCAGACUUGAGUGCGCACAACGUAGGCGGAAUUCAUGGUGUAGCGGUGAAAUGCUUAGAUAUCAUGAAGAACUCCGAUUGCGAAGGCAGCUUACGGGAGCGCAACUGACGCUGAAGCUCGAAGGUGCGGGUAUCGAACAGG